RNAcentral lists this ribosomal RNA (579 nucleotides) under uncultured bacterium. RNAcentral's name for it is "partial 16S ribosomal RNA". It matches the Rfam family "Bacterial small subunit ribosomal RNA", at positions 355 to 932 of the family's 1533-position model. The record is from RNAcentral.
UGGGGAAUUUUGGACAAUGGGCGAAAGCCUGAUCCAGCAAUGCCGCGUGUGUGAAGAAGGCCUUCAGGUUGUAAAGCACUUUUGUCCGGAAAGAAAUCCUUGGCUCUAAUACAGUCGGGGGAUGACGGUACCGGAAGAAUAAGCACCGGCUAACUACGUGCCAGCAGCCGCGGUAAUACGUAGGGUGCAAGCGUUAAUCGGAAUUACUGGGCGUAAAGCGUGCGCAGGCGGUUCGCUAAGACCGAUGUGAAAUCCCCGGGCUCAACCUGGGAACUGCAUUGGUGACUGGCAGGCUAGAGUAUGGCAGAGGGGGGUAGAAUUCCACGUGUAGCAGUGAAAUGCGUAGAGAUGUGGAGGAAUACCGAUGGCGAAGGCAGCCCCCUGGGCCAAUACUGACGCUCAUGCACGAAAGCGUGGGGAGCAAACAGGAUUAGAUACCCUGGUAGUCCACGCCCUAAACGAUGUCAACUAGUUGUUGGGGAUUCAUUUCCUUAGUAACGUAGCUAACGCGUGAAGUUGACCGCCUGGGGAGUACGGUCGCAAGAUUAAAACUCAAAUGAAUUGACGGGGUCAUAGCUG